GAUCGCAGGCUGCAACCCGCCUGCGUGAAGUUGGAAUCGCUAGUAAUCGCGAAUCAGCAUGCCGCGGUGAAUACGUUCCCGGGCCUUGUACACACCGCCCGUCACACCAUGAGAGUCGGGAACACCCGAAGUCCGUAGCCUAACUUUAACGAGGGGGCGCGGCCGAAGGUGGGUUCGAUAAUUGGGGUGAAGUCGUAACAAGGUAUC
Molecule: ribosomal RNA, 207 nt
Filed under: uncultured bacterium
Lineage: Bacteria
Description: partial 16S ribosomal RNA
Rfam family: Bacterial small subunit ribosomal RNA
Source: RNAcentral